UGAUAUUAGUUGACUUUAUGUCUUUGUAUUGUUUGAUUGAAUGGACUGAAUCUGCAAAGUGUACUUUUGUUUUGAUUGAAUGCAUGAUUUUAUCACUUUUCUGCUGGUUUCAUUCUUCUUCAAUUCCUUUGAGAAACAUGUAUAUAUCUAAUUCUAAGCUGAAGACCUAAAAGCUGACAAUUUGAAUUGUUAAAGUAUGUUUGUUAAGUCAGAUAUUUUGUUGCAUUUUCUCCCCCAAUUAGGUUAAAUUGGCUGUUACAUGAGGCAGGUUAUGGAGAAGAAGGCAAAGUUUGACAGUCAAAAUAUCUAACUUCCCUUUUUUGAAUUUGUAGGGUGAUAAAAAUAUCAUAAAAUUUGAUGGCGACUACAAUUCUUUUAUGAUUCAGUUUCCAUUUUCUUGUACAAUGUUCUCUGUCUUCCUCAAGUUUCUGUUGCUGAAGAAAUAUUAUGAUUUGGGUGAUUUGAAACUUGGUUCCGGUGUGGAUGAUGAGGUAUUUAGCAUUUAGAGUUCCUUGUCUUGAUUUCCUGCUCACUUCAAUUAUGUCAUCAAUCUUCAUGGCAAGCAAAAGUGUUGAUGCAAAUCAAGAUGACUCAAGAUUUGGAGAAGUUAACAACAGACUUGUUUGACUGGUAACUGGACUGGUAAAGCCAUCCGUAGAUAUUUUGUGAUGGUUGAAUAAAGAUUUUUAGCUUUCGGCGACAUUCUUGAAUUGAAUAGGUUACCGAAAUGGCUGAUUUUCAGAAGGACUUGGAUUUGGAUAGCUUGGAUAGGGUUGAGCUUAUUAUGGCUCUUGAAGAAGAAUUUUCCAUAGAAAUUCCUGAUGAGAAAGCAGAUAAGCUUACUUGUUGUACUGAUGUUGCAAAAUACAGUCUCUGAAGCUGACAAAAAAAAUUAGGCAAUCCCUGACUUCUCAAUUGUUUGGCAUACAAAGUUUUUGUGGUUGAGCUGUAUCCAUCUCUGCAAUGUCAGCUUGAUUAAUAAGUAUUGAAACUGCCCGUCUCCUUUUCUCGUUUCUUUUUGUCACACUACCCCAAUGUAAGGCAUGGCACCUAUAAUUUAAAAAUUCUCUUGCUUUUUAAUGUUAAAAGUCUCCCUUUUAGUUGUUAAAA
Molecule: long non-coding RNA, 1110 nt
Organism: Trifolium pratense (red clover)
Lineage: Eukaryota; Viridiplantae; Streptophyta; Magnoliopsida; Fabales; Fabaceae
Exons: 3
Source: RefSeq, a predicted model, not a curated record